GGGAACCCCCGGACAGUUCAUGAUAUCGUGAGUCUAGUCCAGACUCAUUCCUCUAGUAUCGUUUUUCUUUGUGAAACUAGGCAGCCAAAAAAUAAAAUGAAGAGGUACCGUGCUAGGUUAGGCUUAAGUGGUUUUGAUGCUUGUGAUAGCGUUGGUCGUAGUGGUGGUCUUGCUUUGUACUGGCAUGAGUCGUUGAUCGUUGAUGUAAAAGAUAUUAAUGAAAGAUAUAUUGAUGCAUAUGUGACUGCGUCGGCGGGUGAGCCACCCUGGAGGCUGACCUGCGUCUACGGUGAGCCACGGACGGAGGACCGUCAUCACAUGUGGUCCCUCCUCCGUGAUCUUCACCAGCAAGCUGACAUGCCUUGGGUAGUGGCUGGUGACUUUAACGAGGCCAUGUGGAGCUUCGAGCAUUUCUCCGAAAUGCCACGCUCGGCAGGUCAGAUGAUUGAUUUUCGUGAUGUUCUUGAGGUUUGUGGUUUGGGUGAUCUUGGUUUUGCAGGCCUGCCUUACACUUAUGAUAACCGUCGUGCAGGUCGGGCAAAUGUUAAAGUUCGACUUGAUCGUGCCGUGGCUAACAACACUUGGCGUGACAUGUUCUCUAAGGCCAAGGUGCAGACCUUGUGGCGCCGAGUUCAGACCACUUUGCCAUCCUGCUAUGAUGCGUUCUGGAGGAGCCCGUGCAGCAGUCUGGCAGGCGCUGCCGGCAAUAUGAGGUGA
Molecule: ribosomal RNA, 717 nt
Filed under: Triticum aestivum (bread wheat)
Lineage: Eukaryota; Viridiplantae; Streptophyta; Magnoliopsida; Poales; Poaceae
Description: partial small subunit ribosomal RNA
Source: RNAcentral